GAUGAAGAACGUAGUGAAAUGCGAUAAGUAAUGUGAAUUGCAGAAUUCAGUGAAUCAUCGAAUCUUUGAACGCACAUUGCGCCCCUUGGUAUUCCGAGGGGCAUGCCUAUUCGAGCGUCAUUAUCACCCCUCAAGCCUAGCUUGGUGUUGAGACCUGCUGUCAAGGCAGUCUCUAAAAUCAGUGGCAGUGCUGUCAGGCUCUAAGCGUAGUAAUUCUUCUCGCUAUGGAGUCCUGGUGGAUGCUUGCCAUCAACCCCCAAUUUUUCUAUGGUUGACCUCGGAUCAGGUAGGGAUACCCGCUGAACUUAAGCAUAUCAAUAAGCGGAGGA
This 329-nucleotide unclassified non-coding RNA is filed under the name soil metagenome. RNAcentral describes it as "partial contains 5.8S ribosomal RNA, internal transcribed spacer 2, and large subunit ribosomal RNA". The stretch from base 1 to 120 matches the Rfam family "5.8S ribosomal RNA", at positions 35 to 154 of the family's 154-position model. The record is from RNAcentral.